GACUUAGUGGCUUAAUGGAUAAGGCAUCAGCCUCUAGAACUGGGAAUUGUGAGUUCACCUCCCAUUUGGGUCA
RNAcentral lists this transfer RNA (73 nucleotides) under Monodelphis domestica (gray short-tailed opossum). It matches the Rfam family "tRNA". Rfam says of the family: Transfer RNA (tRNA) molecules are approximately 80 nucleotides in length. Their secondary structure includes four short double-helical elements and three loops (D, anti-codon, and T loops). Lineage: Eukaryota; Metazoa; Chordata; Mammalia; Didelphimorphia; Didelphidae. The record is from Rfam by way of RNAcentral.